Molecule: ribosomal RNA, 513 nt
Filed under: uncultured bacterium
Lineage: Bacteria
Description: partial 16S ribosomal RNA
Rfam family: Bacterial small subunit ribosomal RNA
Source: RNAcentral
GACGAACGCUGGCGGCGUGCCUAAUACAUGCAGGUUGAGCGCUGAAGACUGGUACUUGUACCGGUUGGAUGAGCAGCGAACGGGUGAGUAACGCGUGGGUAACCUGCCCUAUAGAGGGGGAUAACUAGAGGAAACUUUAGCUAAUACCGCAUAAAAUCUAAUAACACAUGUUAUAAGAUUGAAAGUGCCAAUUGGUACACUAUAGGAUGGACCCGCGUUGUAUUAGCUAGUUGGUGAGGUAAAGGCUCACCAAGGCGAUGAUACAUAGCCGACCUGAGAGGGUGAUCGGCCACACUGGGACUGAGACACGGCCCAGACUCCUACGGGAGGCAGCAGUAGGGAAUCUUCGGCAAUGGACGAAAGUCUGACCGAGCAACGCCGCGUGAGUGAAGAAGGUUUUCGGAUCGUAAAACUCUGUUGUAAGAGAAGAACACCAGUAAGAGUGGAAAGCUUACUGGCUGACGGUAUCUUACCAGAAAGCCACGGCUAACUACGUGCCAGCCGCCGCCGUAA